This 71-nucleotide transfer RNA is filed under the name Dolichorhinotermes tenebrosus. RNAcentral describes it as "tRNA-His". Lineage: Eukaryota; Metazoa; Arthropoda; Insecta; Blattodea; Rhinotermitidae. The record is from RNAcentral.
AUCUGAAUAGUUUACUUAAAAUACUGAUUUGUGGUGUCGGUGAUGAAGGUUUCAACUGCUUUCUUUGGAUU